Molecule: ribosomal RNA, 433 nt
Filed under: uncultured bacterium
Lineage: Bacteria
Description: partial 16S ribosomal RNA
Rfam family: Bacterial small subunit ribosomal RNA
Source: RNAcentral
AACGAACGCUGGCGGCAUGCCUAACACAUGCAAGUCGAACGAGACCUUCGGGUCUAGUGGCGCACGGGUGCGUAACGCGUGGGAACCUGCCCUUAGGUUCGGAAUAACUCCCCGAAAGGGGUGCUAAUACCGGAUAAUGUCUUCGGACCAAAGAUUUAUCGCCUUUGGAUGGGCCCGCGUUGGAUUAGCUAGUUGGUAGGGUAAAAGCCUACCAAGGCGACGAUCCAUAGCUGGUCUGAGAGGAUGAUCAGCCACACUGGGACUGAGACACGGCCCAGACUCCUACGGGAGGCAGCAGUGGGGAAUAUUGGACAAUGGGCGAAAGCCUGAUCCAGCAAUGCCGCGUGAGUGAUGAAGGACUUAGGGUUGUAAAGCUCUUUUACCCGGGAUGAUAAUGGCAGUACCGGGAGAAUAAGCUCCGGCUAACUCCGUG